UACGUAGGAGACGAGCGUUGUCCGGAGUUACUGGGGCGUAAAGGGUGCGCAGGUGGCGGCUGCGCGUGGGGGGUGAAAUCGCCCGGCUUAAACUGGGCGGGGGCCUUCCACGACGGCGUGGCGUUGGAGCAGCGGAGGGGGACGUGGAAUUCCGGGUGGAGGCGGUGAAUGCGUAGAGAUCCGGAGGAACACCGACGGCGCAGGCAGCGUCCUGGCCGCUGCUGACACUGAGGCACGAAAGCUGGGGGAGCAAACAGG
RNAcentral lists this ribosomal RNA (258 nucleotides) under uncultured bacterium. RNAcentral describes it as "partial 16S ribosomal RNA". It matches the Rfam family "Bacterial small subunit ribosomal RNA", at positions 524 to 776 of the family's 1533-position model. The record is from RNAcentral.